GGGACCAAGAAGAGAGCCUUGGGGAACACCACCCGAGACCGGCAAUGAUGUGGAUGUGGCACCAGAAAAAGAGACACUAAAUGAGCGUUUGGAAAGAUUGGAUGAAAAUCAGGAAAUGUACAAUGUCACAGGUUGUGUAGGGAUUGAAGAAGAGGAGAAUGGUCAUUAGUAUCAAAGGCAGCUGAGAGGCCAAUAGGUAUUAAGAGAGAGUAAUGAUCUUUAGAUUUAGCAGUGAUUAAGUUUUUAGUCACUGUGGUAGGGCAGCUUCAGUAGAAUGGAGGUAGCCAAAGCCAGGUUGAAGAGGGUCAAGGAGAGAGUUCACACUUAGAAAAUGAGUUAGACAGAUAUACACAAGCUGCACAAGAAGCUUAGAAUUGAAGGGGAGUAGUGCUAGAGGAAACUAGUUAGAAGGAGUGGUGGAUUUAGGGAUGGGAGUAGACAUGGAAAAAGAAAUUGGACAAGGUGAGAGGAAAGGGGAUCAAAAGGACAUGUGG
Pelobates cultripes (western spadefoot toad) is the source of this 494-nucleotide non-coding RNA. The record is from the annotation of a GenBank genome assembly. Lineage: Eukaryota; Metazoa; Chordata; Amphibia; Anura; Pelobatidae.